This 578-nucleotide small RNA is filed under the name Vigna angularis var. angularis. RNAcentral's name for it is "Non-protein coding transcript". Lineage: Eukaryota; Viridiplantae; Streptophyta; Magnoliopsida; Fabales; Fabaceae. The record is from RNAcentral.
GUCAGCUUAUGAUAAAAUACAUUCAUUUCAUAGUAUAGAGUCUAUCGACUCUAGGUACUUGCCCUGCAUGAAGUAAUGCAGAAGUGCAACAGAAAUACACAUAUUCAAAGACGAAAUGGAAAUGGAACACCCAAAAAGAAAAGUUUCAUAAUUUAUGCUAUCAUUAUAUAAACCACUUAUUGAAAUUCAAACAAAGCAUGCAGCGAAUGACAGGAACCCAAUUUCGAAAUCCAAAGUAGAACGUUGGUUAAAGGAGAAAGGAAUAGGAAGUAAAUAAGUGGGACUUGGAUAUUAGGAAGAGUGGGCAAAUAUGAUUAAGACAGAGGAGGGAGUGGCGGCAGAGGUGGAAGUGGCGGCAGAGGUGGAAGUGGCGGCAGAGGUGGGAGUGGCGGCAGAGGUGGGAGUGGAGGCUGAGGGAGGGCUCCACACGAAGGUGGGACCGUUAUUGGACGUGCUAGUAAUAAUGUAAUGUCCAUGGUUGAAAAGAAAAUAGCAAAGAUUAAAGAAAAAAUGGUGCAACGAUAAGGGGCCAUGACUGGGUUGAAUUUCAGAUGUAGAUAUGCUGAAGUGAAGAACAA